UUAGGUAAAGCUACAAAGAGCUAAUGGGGAAUGCCUUGGUACUGACAGCCGAUGAAGGACGUGUAAAGCUGCGAUAAGCUGCGGGGAACUGCUAAAAGGUCUUGAUCCGCAGAAAUCCGAAUGGGGAAACCCUAUCAAGUUAAAACUUGAUAACUCACAAGUGAAUACAUAGCUUGUGUAGAGGAAAGCCUGUGAACUGAAACAUCUUAGUAACAGGACGAAGAGAAAAUAACCCAAUGAUUCCGAGAGUAGCGGCGAGCGAAAUUGGAAGAGCCUAAAUUGUGUGUACGUGAUAGCCUGCAAGCGUUGUGCACAUGAGGUUGUGGGACUUGCAUCAUAUUUUGCAGAAUAUGGAUUGAGUUAGAAAAUUAUUUAUUAGUUAAAGUCAACUGGGAAGUUGCGCCAUAGAGAGUGAUAGCCUCGUAAACGACAAUAAAUAAUCUCAAGUAAGUAUCCCGAGUAAGGCGGGGCACGUGAAACCCUGUCUGAAUCCACCGGGACCAUCCGGUAAGGCUAAAUACUAGUCAGUGACCGAUAGUGAACGAGUACAGUGAUGGAAAGGCGAAAAGAACAGUGAGAAGCUGAGUGAAAUAGACCCUGAAACCGUUAGCUUACAACCAGUCAGAGCACAAUUAAUUGUGUUAUGGCGUGCCUGUUGAAGAAUGAGCCGGCGAGUUAUUUUUUGUUGCGAGGUUAAGGAGAUCAUAUCCGGAGCCACAGGGAAACCGAGUCUGAAUAGGGCGUUAAGUAACAGGAAAUAGACCCGAACCUUGGUGAUCUAACCUUGACCAGGAUGAAGCGUGGGUAACACUACGUGGAGGUCCGAACCAACCGAUGUUGAAAAAUCGGUGGAUGAGUUGAGGUUAGGGGUGAAAUGCCAAUCGAACCAAGAGCUAGCUGGUUCUCCCCGAAAUGCGUUUAGGCACAGCGUUGGAUUUAUCUUGCAGGAGGUAGAGCACUGGUUUUGUGCGGGCGUCGAAAUGAUGUACCAAACAAUGUCAAACUCCGAAUACCUGUAAUGUCAUUAUCCAGCAGUGAGGCUAUGAGUGAUAAGAUCCAUGGCCAAGAGGGAAACAGCCCAGAACGCCAGUUAAGGUCCCUAAUAUAUGCUAAGUGGUUAAGGAGGUAGAGUUACUGAGACAACCAGGAGGUUGGCUUAGAAGCAGCCAUCCCUUGAAAGAGUGCGUAAUAGCUCACUGGUCAAGUGACUCCGCGCCGAAAAUACACCGGGACUAAAGCAUAUAACCGAAGCUGCGUCAUAUAGUUUACUAUAUGGGUAGGGGAGCGUACUGUAGUAAGACGAAGCUAGAGUGAAAACACUAGUGGAUGAGGCAGUAGUGAGAAUGUCGGCAUAAGUAGCGAAAACAUUGGUGAGAAUCCAAUGCACCGAAAACCUAAGGUUUCCCACGGCAGGCUCGUCCGCGUGGGGUUAGUCGGAUCCUAAGCUCAGGCCAAACGGCGUAGGCGAUGGACAAUAGGUUGAUAUUCCUAUACUAUCUGAUAAUCGUUAUCAGAAGCGGAGGGACGCAAGAGGAUAAGCACGCAGUCGACUGGAAGAGACUGUAUAAGCGUGUAGCUAGGUUUGACAGGAAAAUCCGUCAAAUCGUUAAUGUGAGGCGUGAUGUGGAGAGUCUACGGACUCGAAGGUGUUGACUCCAAAUUGCCAAGAAAAUCUUCGCUCUCGAGAUUAUUGGGUAUCCGUACCGUAAACCGCCACAGGUAGGUUGGUAGAAAAUACUAAGGUGCGCGAGACAACUCUCGCUAAGGAACUCGGCAAAAUCACCUCGUAACUUCGGGAGAAGAGGUACCCUGGUAGCGUGAAGCGAUUUACUCGUGAAGCGUGAUAGGGUCGCAGUGAAUAGGCCCAAGCGACUGUUUACCAAAAACACAGGUCUCUGCUAAGUCGAUCAAGACGAUGUAUAGGGGCUGACGCCUGCCCGGUGUCGGAAGGUUACGCGGAAAUGUUAGAAGCAAUUCAAAGCAUCGAAGCUAAGCCCCGAUGAACGGCGGCCGUAACUAUAACGGUCCUAAGGUAGCGAAAUUCCUUGUCAGGUAAGUUCUGACCCGCACGAAUGGCGUAACGAUUUGGGCGCUGUCUCGGCGAGAGGCUCGGCGAAAUUGGAUUAUCCGUGAAGAUACGGAUUACGUGUACCAGGACAGAAAGACCCUAUUGAGCUUUACUGUAGCUUGAAAUUGAAUUCGGGUUCUCAUUGCGCAGUAUAGGUGGGAGACUAUGAAGCUUGAACUUUGGUUUAAGUGGAGUCAUCGUUGAGAUACCACUCUGUGAAAAUUUGGAUUCUAACCUUGAUCCCUCAAAGAACAGGGCAAGGGACAGUUUCUGGUAGGCAGUUUGACUGGG
Molecule: ribosomal RNA, 2359 nt
Filed under: Candidatus Gastranaerophilales bacterium HUM_5
Lineage: Bacteria; Bacillati; Candidatus Melainabacteria; Candidatus Gastranaerophilales
Description: bacterial LSU rRNA
Rfam family: Bacterial large subunit ribosomal RNA
Source: RNAcentral